AAUAAAUAAAUAUGUAAAUAACUAAAAGAUGUUCUACAGUAUGUAACUUUAUUUUUUAAAAUAAAUAAUUAUGAUAGGUGCCCUUUUUUCGCUUGAGCACCUGUCGCCCAAAAUGUCUGUGCACGACCCUGAGUUUGUUCAUAAAAAUUUUUAAGGGUGCCAAUAAUUGACACACAUGGUUUUGUUAAUAAUAUAUUCUUAGAAUGAAUUUAACUUAAUUACAGGUCAGAUUUCACUCAGUGAGAUUUGCAGUGAGAGAUUACAUUUUUAAUAACCUUAGGGUGCCAGUAAUUCUGCAUCUCACUGUGUUAAAAGACAGAAUGAUGUGCUUACUCAAAUCUUUGUGUCAGCUGCUAUUUGGCACAGUCAUGAAAGAUUUUUUCCCAACUUCACAAUUUAAGGACUAAAAUAAAAGUGAAAGCAGAAAAUGAAUUUACAGUCAAGUGAAAAUGUUCUGGAUUCAUAAACGAUGGUGUAAAAGAAGUAUAAUACUGAUGAUGCCACAUACACUGCACAUGCUCUCAAUAAGAAAAUAUCACAAAGCACACAGUUUCUGUUGAUCUAACAUAAAUAUGCAUAUUAAUGACCUAUAUAUUGCCACCUUCCAGCUUUCAAGACAAGCCAAUCAGCUGAUUUUAUUAAAAGAAUGGUACAUUAAAAAUGAAUUAAGACAUGGACAUUUUCAGCAACAAUGGCUUGGAAAAAAAACACAUCUACAUUUCUAGUAAUGUAUGAAAAACAUGUUCUGUUGAAACUGCUAGUUUUCACUUGUUAGUGAAGAAUAAUACUGAAUAACGCUUCUUACUCGCACCACACAUGCAUAGCUUUUAAAUAUCCAUGUCUGUUUGAACAAUAUGCGUGGUAAACAAGGAUCACACAAAAGGAUCUAUAUACUGUAUGUAUCCACUGCUGGAAAACUGUAAAUAAAACUAAACUACAGCAACACUGUGAACAAGGUGGAGGUUGGGAAUUAUGAUGCAUUCACACUGGCAGCAAGUUUUUAUCGUCAAGUUGCUCUAUGUUGGUUGCUAGUAGGUGCUGCUAACUUUUUUGCAAGUUCAAGUUUUUUUCAAACAAAUUUUACAAUGGUUUCCCUGACAACAUCUGGCAAACACGAUUUGGUAGCACAAACUACGAAACUGGCUAUGGAACAAGCCUGCUAAACACGAGAUGUGUGGCCCCUUUUUAGUAAAAAAAUCAUUAUAUAAUUAUUUAUUAUAUACAAAAAAUGCUGUUCAGCUACCUGUUAAUAAUGGGGCUAGUGGGAAUUAUCCCUUGCAUCAUUUCUUCUUAAAGAGAGUGAUGCAGCAGUGCUUUAUUCUGUCCAGCUUUCACCUCUUCAUCUGUACACUCUGUUCAUACAGAUCAGCUUCUAGAGCUUCAACACUCAUGCUCCUAGCUCCGUCGAUGCCGUCGUGCUGAUAGCUGAUUUGAAUCUCUGCUGUAACUCAGUGUCAUAUAGUCGCAUUGCAUUCAUUAUAGCCAGAAAAUGAUGAGAAAAGAAACACUUCUGUUUGAAGGAACCUGAUCGGUAUCCCAUACGUUUGAGAUCGCGAAACACUUUUCUCCUGACACACCAUCGUAAUUGUGCUAUCGAUAUCCCGUGACAUCAGAGUGUGACUGCUAACUUCUCACAGGAAUAACAAAAAUAAGCAAAUAUAAAACAAAAAUAUAAAAAUUCUUUUUUUAGCUCCAUUUAAUCUCUGAUCGACUUUUUUCAUGUGCAUCACCCUGCUCACUUUGCACUGCAGUCGGUUCACCUCCUGUCACGGUAAAUCAUCAGCGCUCAGUGUAAAUGAAUGACUUCAAGCUGCUUUGUCAUGUUGCCUCACUGCCAGUGUGAAUGCAGGGUUAACAUUAAAUUAGAGUCUUAAAUCAGCAGCAGUAAAGCAGGCACUAAGUGCAAUUUCAAACUUCAAGACCUUUUUGCAGCUACAAGCAAGCCACAAUAUUUUUGUCUCACCGUGUGUGUGAAAACAAAAGCAUCAUGGAAAUGUGCCGGUCAUCAUGCACUGCAUCUGAUAUAAAACAAGCUUGCUAGUUAAACACAGGGGGGUUUUUUGGGGUUUGUUUUUUUUUUUGUAAAGCUCCUGGCCUGUAGAAAAGCUCAGAGUCUGAAGCAGAUUACUGAAACUAAGGGACGGUAACUGGCUUCUGUUGAGGAAAUGUGCUUAAAGUUCCUGAAAAAGUUCCUGCAAAGGAAGCGAGUCUCUUUAAAUCCAGGGCUUAGUCCUUAUACCCAAACAAUGCUGAUUAACACUGUGGCUCAUUAUUGUUGGACUGGGUGAUGCUGAGCUGUGCGAAUGAGCUCGUUGGUAGAUCAUCUGGACUCUCAAGCUCCGGAGGCUCACUCUCGGGCAAUGCAGGAGGUUCGUUGUCUGAACCUGAUUGAUUCUGGACCUCUGCUGUGGGAGGGGUUAUUUCAGGAUCCUCAUUAUUGAUUGGGGAGUGUGGCUGUUCUUCAGUCCCGCCUCCUUCCUCCUCCAGCUCAGAGUCAGAAUCCAGACUAUGCUCCAGGGACCCCAGUGUGCCUGUGGAGCCUUCUAAUGGAAAACAGAACAGGGAGAAAACACCUCAAUAAAUGAACAUUGAGGAUUUGCUACAAUGUGAAAUUCAGUAGUCCUAAAAUACCCCACCUAGUUCUUCAUUUAUCUUGUCUGCCUCGGUUCCUCCAUGUUCUUCAGUGCGAUCUGCUUCAUCAUCAUUUGUACCCGAGUCCUCCCCAUCAAUACUGCUUUCCU
Ictalurus punctatus (channel catfish) is the source of this 2741-nucleotide long non-coding RNA. The record is from Ensembl. Lineage: Eukaryota; Metazoa; Chordata; Actinopteri; Siluriformes; Ictaluridae.